GACGAACGCUGGCGGCGUGCCUAAUACAUGCAAGUUGAGCGCUGAAGGUUGGUACUUGUCCCAACUGGAUGAGCAGCGAACGGGUGAGUAACGCGGGGGGAAUCUGCCUUUGAGCGGGGGACAACAUUUGGAAACGAAUGCUAAUACCGCAUAAAAACUUUAAACACAAGUUUUAAGUUUGAGAGAUGCAAUUGCAUCACUCAAAGAUGAUCCCGCGUUGUAUUAGCUAGUUGGUGAGGUAAAGGCUCACCAAGGCGAUGAUACAUAGCCGACCUGAGAGGGUGAUCGGCCACAUUGGGACUGAGACACGGCCCAAACUCCUACGGGAGGCAGCAGUAGGGAAUCUUCGGCAAUGGACGAAAGUCUGACCGAGCAACGCCGCGUGAGUGAAGAAGGUUUUCGGAUCGUAAAACUCUGUUGGUAGAGAAGAACGUUGGUGAGAGUGGAAAGCUCAUCAAGUGACGGUAACUACCCAGAAAGGGACGGCUAACUACGUG
RNAcentral lists this ribosomal RNA (497 nucleotides) under uncultured bacterium. Its description in RNAcentral is "partial 16S ribosomal RNA". It matches the Rfam family "Bacterial small subunit ribosomal RNA", at positions 28 to 507 of the family's 1533-position model. The record is from RNAcentral.